GCGGAUGUGGCGGAACUGGCAGACGCGUACGGUUGAGGGCCGUAUGAUAAUUGCAUCGUGUGGGUUCGAGUCCCACCAUCCGCACCA
RNAcentral lists this transfer RNA (87 nucleotides) under Clostridiales bacterium. Its description in RNAcentral is "tRNA-Leu". It matches the Rfam family "tRNA". Rfam says of the family: Transfer RNA (tRNA) molecules are approximately 80 nucleotides in length. RNAcentral also lists the same sequence under 1 other name. The record is from RNAcentral. Lineage: Bacteria; Bacillati; Bacillota; Clostridia; Eubacteriales.